Molecule: ribosomal RNA, 1745 nt
Filed under: Carnegiea gigantea
Lineage: Eukaryota; Viridiplantae; Streptophyta; Magnoliopsida; Caryophyllales; Cactaceae
Description: eukaryotic LSU rRNA
Rfam family: Eukaryotic large subunit ribosomal RNA
Source: RNAcentral
UGUGUGCAUGUGUGUGUGUGUGUGUGUGUGUGCAUGUGGACAUAUAUAUACAUACAUACAUAUAUAUAUUCGUACACACAUAUAUAAAUAUGCACACACAAACACACACACACACAUAUCGCGUGGUGUCGCAGUUGGAAGGGCACCGCAUGUCUCGGGGUGUCUUGUGCGCACUUGGCAGCCCUUGAAAAUUCGGAGGACCGAGGGCGACCAUGCCUGGUUUUGGUCAUAACCGCAUCAGGUCUCCCAGGUGAAUAGCCUUUGGUCAAUGGAACAAUGUAGGCAAGGGAAGUCGGCGAAAUGGAUCCGCAACUUUGGGAAAAGGAUUGGCUUUGAGGGUUGGGCACGACGGUCCCAGUUCCGAACGCGUCGAUAGACUGCUCGAGCGAGUCACCGCGUGUCGACAGGGGGACAGAUUGGGAACGAUUGCUCAGGGGCUUUCCCCGGGCAUCGAACAGUCAAUUCAAAACUGGUACUGACAAGAGGAAUCUGACUAUUUAAUUAAAAUAAAGCAUUGCGAUGGUCCCUACAGAUACUAACGCAAUAUGAUUUCUGCCUAGUGCUCUGAAUGUUAAAGUGAAGAAAUUUAACCAAGCGCGGGUAAAUGGCGGGAGUAACUAUAACUCCCUUAAGCUAGCCAAAUGCUUCGUCAUCUAAUUAGUGAUGCACAUGAAUGGAUUAACGAGAUUCCCACUGCCCCUGUCUACUAUCAAGCGAAACCACAGCCAAGGGAAUGGGCUUAGUAGAAUCAACUGGGAAAGAAGACCCUCUUGAGCUUGACUCUAGUUCGACUUUGUGAAAUGACUUGAGAGGUGUAGCAUAAGUGGGAGCUUCGAUGCAAGUGAAAUAGCACUACUUUUGACGUUAUUUUAUUUAUUCCGUGAGUCGAAGGCGGGGCAUCACCCUUCUUUUUGAACCUAAGGCUCGCAUCGUAGGCUAAUCCUGGAGGAGGACAUUAUCAGGUGGAGAGUUUGGCUGGGGCGACACGUUUGUUAAAAGAUAACACAGGUGUUCUAAAAUGAGCUCAAUGAGAACAGAAAUCUCGUGUUGGAGUCGAGGGGUAAGUCCUAGUCGAAUUCUGAUUUUUAGUGUGAAUACGAACCGUGAAAGUGUGGCCUACCGAUCCUUUAGACCUUUGGAAUUUGAAGCUAGAGGUGUCAGAAAAGUUACCAUAGGGAUAACUGACUCGUGGCAGCCAAACAUUCACAGCAAUGUUGCUUUUUGAUCCUUUGAUGUCGGCUCUUGCUAUCAUUGUGAAGCAGAAUUCACCAAGUGUUGGAUUGCUCACCCACUAAUAGGGAACAUGAGCUAGGUUUAGACCGUCAUGAGACAGAUUAGUUUUACCCCACUAAUGACAAUGUCGCGAUGGUAAUUUAACCUUGUACAAGAGGAAUGUAAUAGCCCAACCCUAAAAUUAUUUAAUUAUGAUUAUUUAUUUAAUUCACGUGCAUAAUUUUUCUUCACUUAUUUCAUUUAUUUUAUAUAUUCACCCCAGUGGAAAAAUUUUAUUUGGGCCCUCACUUGGUGAUUCAGAUUUUAAUUGUUUAUCUAAUUGAUUAACGAAAACUAUGGAAGAUUUGAUAGUAGGCCCUAACAAGUUUAAUCUACGUAAUUUAUUUUGUUUUCCACGACAUUGCAAAGCUUUAAUUUUUAGUUUUGUAAAAACGUUAUCAUUAUGAUGCGUUUUAUUCCCGAAUCCAAUUUAUUUCAGCCGUUUUGCCACCAAGUUUGACUAUUAAUCAAAC